AUACCUUUCUCGGCCUUUUGGCUAAGAUCAAGUGUAGUAUCUGUUCUUAUCAGUUUAAUAUCUGAUAAAUGGAAAUCUACCGUUUCCAGGUGAAUCUCUAUAGGACUUUCCUAUAUGUUUGUCUUCUUGAUAAAAAUUUUUUAUAGGGAAAGGACCUUAAAUAGUAGCUUGCUACUUGGGUUCCUUUUAUGUCACCCUUG
This 200-nucleotide small nuclear RNA is filed under the name Corchorus capsularis. RNAcentral's name for it is "U2 spliceosomal RNA". It matches the Rfam family "U2 spliceosomal RNA", at positions 1 to 161 of the family's 192-position model. Rfam says of the family: U2 is a small nuclear RNA (snRNA) component of the spliceosome (involved in pre-mRNA splicing). Complementary binding between U2 snRNA (in an area lying towards the 5' end but 3' to hairpin I) and the branchpoint sequence (BPS) of the intron results the bulging out of an unpaired adenosine, on the BPS, which initiates a nucleophilic attack at the intronic 5' splice site, thus starting the first of two transesterification reactions that mediate splicing. The record is from Rfam by way of RNAcentral. Lineage: Eukaryota; Viridiplantae; Streptophyta; Magnoliopsida; Malvales; Malvaceae.